RNAcentral lists this non-coding RNA (28 nucleotides) under Homo sapiens (human). Lineage: Eukaryota; Metazoa; Chordata; Mammalia; Primates; Hominidae. The record is from RNAcentral.
UGAAGAUGGGAAGGAGAUGGUCAUGUGU